Long non-coding RNA from Seriola aureovittata, 828 nucleotides. RefSeq lists it as uncharacterized. The record is from RefSeq and is a predicted model, not a curated record. Lineage: Eukaryota; Metazoa; Chordata; Actinopteri; Carangiformes; Carangidae. The transcript has 3 exons.
GCAGAAAAAGCAGAAGAAGCUGAAGAAGCUGAAGAAGCUUUACGGUCUGAAAUGGACUUCACUUGACAAUAUCCACAACUUGGAAUAUUUCUUUUUAAUGGAAAACCAGUUUGAUUAAUUUGAUCGGUGGACCCUUCAGGAUUAAAGGAAUAAAAACAAUGGACAAAACAAUGGUGGAAAAGACAGACGAUCGGACUUCAAGAUUGUCUCAAAGUGUAGAUGCAAUAUGAUGAUGUGUCAUUCCUAUGUCCCGGACCCUGCGGACAAGUCCAAGUCUGAAUUUCUCUCCCAGUCUGACCAUGGAACCAAUGCUAAUCUGGUAUUACCAAGAUGGAGAACCCUAGGAACUGCUAGGAUAGGAAGCUGCCAAGGAUAAGGCUUUUCUCCUGAAUGUACCAGUGCUCAUGCAGCUGCACUUCCUCUCGCAGAACAGGAUGCAUCUACAGAUGUUCAGUGCGACAGAGACGGUUACGGGAGAGCUCCAGCCGCUGCUGGAUUUAUUUUAAAUUGAACUUUUGCGUUAACAGAUUCAACAUUUAUGAGUGUUCCUUGUUUUCCCGAGCAUAUGGUGCUCCGCUAGGCCUCCUCAUCCCAUAUGCUGUAGCGCCCAGGAGAACAUGCAGUUAAGCAGAUAAAAUCGCUGGGCUCGGGUAGGUGAUGGAAUAUCCCUCCAUCACACGUACAGCGAGCACGAGUGUGCACGCGCUGUUGAUUAUUACACAUCAAAGUUACAGUAAAAGCAGAGCAUCGUUUAGCUUCUGUGAUGAGAAACAGGAAAUGCAGGCAGGGUUUUAUUAUGACAGUGACUGAAAUAAAAUCCCUCAGAUG